GAUGAACGCUGGCGGCGUGCUUAACACAUGCAAGUCGAACGGAAAGGCCGAAGCUUGCUUCGGUACUCGAGUGGCGAACGGGUGAGUAACACGUGGGUGAUCUGCCCUGUACUUCGGGAUAAGCUUGGGAAACUGGGUCUAAUACCGGAUAUGACGAUCUCUUGGAUGGGGUUGUGGAAAGCUUUUGCGGUAUGGGAUGAGCUCGCGGCCUAUCAGCUUGUUGGUGGGGUGAUGGCCUACCAAGGCGUCGACGGGUAGCCGGCCUGAGAGGGUGUACGGCCACAUUUGGACUGGGAUACGGCCCAGACUCCUACGGGGGGCAGUAGUGGGGAAUAUUGCACAAUGGGCGCAAGCCUGAUGCAGCGACGCCGCGUGGGGGAUGACGGCCUUCGGGUUGUAAACUCCUUUCGCAAUCGACGAAGCCUUUUGGUGACGGUAGGUUGAGAAGAAGCACCGGCUAACUACGUG
Molecule: ribosomal RNA, 468 nt
Filed under: uncultured bacterium
Lineage: Bacteria
Description: partial 16S ribosomal RNA
Rfam family: Bacterial small subunit ribosomal RNA
Source: RNAcentral